This 506-nucleotide ribosomal RNA is filed under the name uncultured bacterium. RNAcentral's name for it is "partial 16S ribosomal RNA". It matches the Rfam family "Bacterial small subunit ribosomal RNA", at positions 29 to 523 of the family's 1533-position model. The record is from RNAcentral.
AGUGAACGCUGGCGGUAGGCCUAACACAUGCAAGUCGAACGGCAGCACAGGAGAGCUUGCUCUCUGGGUGGCGAGUGGCGGACGGGUGAGGAAUACAUCGGAAUCUACUCUGUCGUGGGGGAUAACGUAGGGAAACUUACGCUAAUACCGCAUACGACCUACGGGUGCCCGCAGGGGACCUUCGGGCCUUGCGCGAUUGAAUGAGCCGAUGUCGGAUUAGCUAGUUGGCGGGGUAAAGGCCCACAAAGGCGACGAUCCGUAGCUGGUCUGAGAGGAUGAUCGGCCACACUGGAACUGAGACACGGUCCAGACUCCUACGGGAGGCAGCAGUGGGGAAUAUUGGACAAUGGGCGCAAGCCUGAUCCAGCCAUACCGCGUGGGUGAAGAAGGCCUUCGGGUUGUAAAGCCCUUUUGUUGGGAAAGAAAUCCAGCUGGCUAAUACCCGGUUGGGAUGACGGUACCCAAAGAAUAAGCACCGGCUAACUUCGUGCCAGCAGCCGCCGUAA